This 74-nucleotide transfer RNA is filed under the name Nanobdellota archaeon. RNAcentral describes it as "Nanoarchaeota archaeon tRNA-Ile". It matches the Rfam family "tRNA". Rfam says of the family: Transfer RNA (tRNA) molecules are approximately 80 nucleotides in length. Their secondary structure includes four short double-helical elements and three loops (D, anti-codon, and T loops). Lineage: Archaea; Nanobdellati; Nanobdellota. The record is from RNAcentral.
GGGCCCAUAGCUUAACCUGGUGGAGCGCCGGUCUUAUAAGCCGGUGGUUGCCGGUUCGAAUCCGGUUGGGCCCA